This 1781-nucleotide long non-coding RNA is filed under the name Zea mays. RNAcentral's name for it is "drought-responsive long non-coding RNA". Lineage: Eukaryota; Viridiplantae; Streptophyta; Magnoliopsida; Poales; Poaceae. The record is from RNAcentral.
CCAGAACACUCCCCUUUCCCCUCCUCUCCUAGGGUUUCACAGUGACGCUUCCUCACCACCGCCGUCGCAGAGAUGCAGUCCCUCGUGCCCUUCAGUACGGCUUCGUCCGCAAGGCCUAUGGCGUCCGGACCGGCGAGACGCUGUGCCCGGGGAUCUCGUGCGAGGAGAGCGCCAUCCACAAGGUAUACGACAUCCUCGCCGCGUAGCUGCUCCUCACCACCGUCGUAUCCUCCCUCACUGUAGUGUCUCAAGCCUACGAAGCAGCCUCGCUCCACCUGCCGCCGUUGACUGGUCCACCCCUUCUGUAAUCCUUACUGUUUCACGCUCGCUCCGCAGGCUCGCUCCACCCACCACCGGUGGUCGGUAUGUACCCAGAUUUCUUUGGAUUCUUCGGUUGGUUUGCUGGUGUGCUCAAAUUUGGGUGGCUAAGCAGGUGGUUGGGCGAGACAUCUUGCCACCCACCAUGUUUAUGUUUGUGAUUUAUUCGUGUUUUUUUCCUCCCAUUAGGUCGACGAUGGUAGCCAUAAUCUAUACCAAUAUAUAAUAAUCAUAUAACAUAGCGGUUGUUGUUGAAUAAUUGCGCUUAAUAAUGAGUUUGAGCGGCAAGCCUUGAUUUUUUGGUACUUCUUGGUUUUAAAUGUUAGGUUGUGCAAUUCUCUAUAGCUGUAUGAGCAUUUGGAGCCUCGUUGCUGGACAAGGUGAUAUGCAUGGACUUUUUUUGCUACAAAAUUUAUGCUUCAAAUAGAAGCUCAUGUUCACAGGAAUUAACUCUCUUAUGUAUAGCAACAUUCUAUAGGCCUUGGAGUGUGCAUGCUUAUUUGUGCUAAUUGGGAGUGGUGAUAGGUACACUGACAUAAUUCUUGUUUCUAUUUUUAGGGGGUGAUUUAUUCAUUGGAGUUUACUGCAUUUAGGUUGCUCAAGAUUCAGUUUUGCUUAGACCAUCAGAUAAAGUUAGUCGUGGCAUUGGAUCAUCUAAAAAUUAUAUUUAUAUGGAUGGUCAAAUGUGAUGUAUGCUCAAGAUUUAUCUUAUUACAUUUCUUGGAUGUUUAUUGGCCUACUUCAGCUCUACUAGCACAUACUCUGACUUCAGAUUGGACAUGAGAGAGAGACUGCAAAUUUGUCUGAUGCAAAAAAAUCAUCGAUAAGUCAAACCUUCAGAUAAAGUCAGUCAUGGCAUUGGAUCAUCUAAAAAUUAUAUUUAUGUUCAAGCUAAGAAGGAGGCUCAUGUCAAAGAGGUACGUACAUUCUAUUCCUUUUCGACAAAAGUUGUUGUAGGAGGGACAAUCUAAAAGUAUUGUGCAAGAUAUAGAGCAUGCACUCAUCAUAUCUAAGUGAUCGGAGUGAUAUUGAUUAGCUUAUUAGAUGGAUAUUGGCCCAGUUUAUCUUUCAUUUUUUUCUAUAGCUGUUAGAAUUUUACUUUGCUCAGUUCAUACUAUAAAUAAUAUGAGACUCUUGUUUUGUGGUCCAAGUGUUUAGCGCUUAGGGUGCCUUGGAAGUACGCUAGCUUGUUGUCAUGAAGAAGUCAUUCAAGUUCCUUCCAGUGAGUUAUUAGUUCUUAUGUAUAUUUCUGUAACAUGUAAUUUUACAAUCUUUAUGCACAUUGGAGGUGUAUUUUACGACAUAAUUAAGCAUCAUAAACAAAUAUAUUUUAGAGUAGAAAGAAGGACAAUGCACUCCAUUAUGUUUUAAACAUUGACUUUUAUGUUUACCUCAUUGCAACCUUUUCAGGCACUUCCUAUAUUUCUUGACAUAAUGUUUCAUCAUGUUCUUGGUGUAAUAUU